UGGGUCCCGACCCUUACAGGUCAUGUAUGUGGCCACCAGGGGGUCAAAUUCCGGUGUUGUGGCCACUUUGUCUGGCAGGACGGGUCUGGGGCAUUCUGCCCGCAUCUUCUUGCGAACCUCCCAUUCAAGAGGUCUGCGUACCCAGUAGUGCACGAAUUGUGCCGAGUGGUCAGGCAAUGACCAGUCUGAGGAUCUGGGGUGCCAGAUGGAUCGAGG
Non-coding RNA from Pelobates cultripes (western spadefoot toad), 216 nucleotides. Lineage: Eukaryota; Metazoa; Chordata; Amphibia; Anura; Pelobatidae. The record is from the annotation of a GenBank genome assembly.